UGAUUGUGUAUGUGUGUAUUGGAGUUGGACUUUUGGGGCUUGCAGCUCUUCUCUUUGCACUCUUCUGGUUGAGAUGCAAGAGACAGAAGAAAAAAGCAGAUGAAUGUGACUAUCAGAAUAUUGGGCUGAAUGCUAAAGAAAACACUGCACCUGACCUCACCAACCAGACGUCUAAUGAUGUGUUUCAGACAUCUUUAGUAAGUGUUUACUGAACAACGCAGGUACUGCUGGCAUGUAAGAUGAUGAUGGUCAGUGGUACUGAAUAAAAACCUUAAAGGUCA
Long non-coding RNA from Clarias gariepinus (North African catfish), 281 nucleotides. RefSeq lists it as uncharacterized. NCBI's taxonomy places the organism in Eukaryota, Metazoa, Chordata, Actinopteri, Siluriformes, Clariidae. The transcript has 3 exons. The record is from RefSeq and is a predicted model, not a curated record.